UACGUAGGGUGCAAGCGUUAAUCGGAAUUACUGGGCGUAAAGCGUGCGCAGGCGGUGAUGUAAGACAGGUGUGAAAUCCCCGGGCUUAACCUGGGAACUGCAUUUGUGACUGCAUCGCUGGAGUGCGGCAGAGGGGGAUGGAAUUCCACGUGUAGCGGUGAAAUGCGUAGAUAUGUGGAGGAACACCGAUGGCGAAGGCAGCCUUCUGGGCCAACACUGACGCUCAUGCACGAAAGCGUGGGGAGCAAACAGG
RNAcentral lists this ribosomal RNA (253 nucleotides) under uncultured bacterium. RNAcentral's name for it is "partial 16S ribosomal RNA". It matches the Rfam family "Bacterial small subunit ribosomal RNA", at positions 524 to 776 of the family's 1533-position model. The record is from RNAcentral.